Molecule: long non-coding RNA, 1140 nt
Filed under: Vulpes vulpes (red fox)
Lineage: Eukaryota; Metazoa; Chordata; Mammalia; Carnivora; Canidae
Description: lncRNA (ENSVVUG00000028015.1)
Source: RNAcentral
GACGGUGGGCAACACCGGAACAUGCUGGGAUGCUAAUGGGAAGGAUCUGGCGGAGCAGGAGAGAGAGCUGGUGUAGCAGAGCCAAGGUCCACUGGGGUGCGCGGGAGGCGAUGGGGUCCAGACCUCUGCUCCUGCCUGCUUCCCUCUGCCCACGGUCAGGGCCGCCCUCGCCUUAGCCCAGGCUCACUUGUCUGACCCUCCAGAACCAGGAUCACUGCUUCUGGUACCUUCCUGGGGUCCUACAAGACAACUUGGUCGUCCCCAGGGGCACAGCAGGCUUAUGGCUGGGUUACAGCUUUUCUCGUGUAUUCUUGAGGAUGGGGAGUCCUACACAGGCGCCUGCGCAGCAGCACUGCGAAUCCAGCUUCUAGGAUCAGCCCCGGGUAGAAGAAGAAACAGAAAUGGAGACAGAGCCCAGCUCCCAUCAGCCCAAGGAGACACAUCAAGCCGGGAGAGAGGUCAGAGGUGAUGGGAUGGGGUGGGGGUGGGGGGCGGGGAGGCACCUGAAUUCCUCUCUCCCAGCUCCCAGGGAUCCUCAGGUAUUUUUUAAUUAAGCCGAGGAGAAGCAACAGGGACCCUCUGGAAUGUAAACAUCAGAUAAGCCCAGGCCCCCCUCCUCUAUUUUGUGUCUUCCAGGGUGAACACCACAUUCUUUCCCAGGAGCUAGUUCCCGCCCCUCUGGUUCCUGCGGGUCAUGUCUCCCUUGGGGGGAAGGAGUCUGCCUCUCAAGUUCUUUCCAUGUCCCCUCCCCAGCCUUUGUCUCGGUCUUUGGGCCUUUUUGUAACCCCAGGGGCUUCGUAGUCUCAGGUGGGGCCUGUGCUUGGGAACCUGGAGGGGACUUCAGAUUUUAAUCAGUAUGUGGGUAUCUCUUUGGGUUCUUGCUGUGGGAUUUUGACCUCUGCUGUGGGCCUCUGUACCCUGUGUCUUCUGGGAUGGUACAGCGCUCCCCAGCGUUGGGCCAAUCCAAUGCGAACAGCUACUGCCAUCCAACACGUGGCGCUGGGCACCCCAAGUACUGAAAGAAUAUUCCGGGCGGGUGGCGCUAAUCAGAGGUGCCCAGAGGAGAGGGCAUCGGCAGCCAGCGGGUGCCGCGGUUACAGAGAAGGCCUCAGGGAGGAGGCGGGUUCGCCUACUUGAGGG